UGGUUCUGGCAUCGAUGAAGAACGCAGCGAAAUGCGAUAAGUAAUACGAAUUGCAGAGUUCAGCGAGUCAUCGAAUCUUUGAACGCAUAUUGCGCCUGCCAGCACUCUGGCAGGCAUGCCUGUCCGAGCGUCAUCUCACCGCUCAGGCGGCCCUUUCUUGGCCGCCUGGUGUUGGGGCCCACUACGCGCCGCCGUAGGCCCUGAAAUUCGUCGGCGAGCCUGCCGGAGCUCCCCAGCGCAGUGGCUAAUCACCGCUGAGGGCGCCCGGAAGGUCCUCCGCCAGACGGCGCCGCAGCCGCGGCGCCCGAGCAACUGUUUGACCUCGGAUCAGGUAGGACUACCCGCUGA
This 348-nucleotide unclassified non-coding RNA is filed under the name uncultured fungus. RNAcentral's name for it is "partial contains 5.8S ribosomal RNA and internal transcribed spacer 2". The stretch from base 1 to 133 matches the Rfam family "5.8S ribosomal RNA", at positions 22 to 154 of the family's 154-position model. The record is from RNAcentral. Lineage: Eukaryota; Fungi.